This 513-nucleotide ribosomal RNA is filed under the name uncultured bacterium. RNAcentral describes it as "partial 16S ribosomal RNA". It matches the Rfam family "Bacterial small subunit ribosomal RNA", at positions 28 to 523 of the family's 1533-position model. The record is from RNAcentral.
GAUGAACGCUGGCGGCGUGCCUAAUACAUGCAAGUCGAACGCGCAGCGAAAGGUGCUUGCACCUUUCAAGCGAGUGGCGAACGGGUGAGUAACACGUGGAUAACCUGCCUCAAGGCUGGGGAUAACAUUUGGAAACAGAUGCUAAUACCGAAUAAAACUUAGUAUCGCAUGAUACAAAGUUAAAAGGCGCUACGGCGUCACCUAGAGAUGGAUCCGCGGUGCAUUAGUUAGUUGGUGGGGUAAAGGCUUACCAAGACGAUGAUGCAUAGCCGGGUUGAGAGCCUGUUCGGCCAAAUUGGGACUGAGACACGGCCCAAACUCCUACGGGAGGCUGCAGUAGGGAAUCUUCCACAAUGGGCGCAAGCCUGAUGGAGCAACGCCGCGUGUGUGAUGAAGGCUUUCGGGUCGUAAAGCACUGUUGUAUGGGAAGAAAUGCUAAAAUAGGGAAUGAUUUUAGUUUGACGGUACCAUACCAGAAAGGGACGGCUAAAUACGUGCCAGCAGCCGCCGUAA